RNAcentral lists this ribosomal RNA (507 nucleotides) under uncultured bacterium. RNAcentral's name for it is "partial 16S ribosomal RNA". It matches the Rfam family "Bacterial small subunit ribosomal RNA", at positions 28 to 523 of the family's 1533-position model. The record is from RNAcentral.
GAUGAACGCUAGCGGGAGGCUUAACACAUGCAAGUCGAGGGGCAGCACGAUGUAGCAAUACGUUGGUGGCGACCGGCGCACGGGUGAGUAACACGUAUGUAACCUACCCUUAACAGGAGGAUAACCCGGAGCAAUUCGGACUAAUACCCCAUAAUGAUAUAAUGAGGCAUCUCGUUAUAUUUAAAGCUACGGCGGCAAAGUAUGGGCAUGCGGAACAUUAGCUGGUUGGUAAGGUAACGGCUUACCAAGGCUACGAUGUUUAGGGGUCCUGAGAGGGUGAUCCCCCACACUGGUACUGAGACACGGACCAGACUCCUACGGGAGGCAGCAGUGAGGAAUAUUGGUCAAUGGGCGCAAGCCUGAUCCAGCCAUUCCGCGUGCAGGAUGAAGGCCCUCGGGUUGUAAACUGCUUUUGUACAGAACGAAAAGGUUUCUACUAAUACUAGGAGCUCAUGACGGUACUGUAAGAAUAAGCACCGGCUAACUACGUGCCAGCCGCCGCGGUAA